GAUGAAGAACGCAGCGAAAUGCGAUACUUGGUGUGAAUUGCAGAAUCCCGUGAACCAUCGAGUCUUUGAACGCAAGUUGCGCCCGAAGCCACUAGGCCGAGGGCACGCCUGCCUGGGCGUCACACGCCGUUGCCCCCCCAUCUACUCCUUCGGGAUUGCGGGGGGGCGGAUGAUGGCCUCCCGUGCGCCUAGCCGCGCGGUUGGCAUAAAUACCAAGUCCUCGGCGACGCACGCCACGACAAUCGGUGGUUGCGAAACCUCGGUUGCCCGUCGUGUGCGUUCGUCGCGCAUCGAGGGCUCGAAAAAAUGCUCGGCUCCGGCUGGGCUUUCAACGCGACCCCAGGUCAGGCGGGGUUACCCGCUGAAUUUAAGCAUAUCAAAAGCGGAGGA
Molecule: unclassified non-coding RNA, 390 nt
Filed under: soil metagenome
Description: partial contains 5.8S ribosomal RNA, internal transcribed spacer 2, and large subunit ribosomal RNA
Rfam family: 5.8S ribosomal RNA (bases 1-122)
Source: RNAcentral